AUUGAACGCUGGCGGCAUGCCUUACACAUGCAAGUCGAACGGUAACGGCCUUCGGGUGCCGACGAGUGGCGAACGGUGAGUAAUGCAUCGGAACGUACCUUUCAGUGGGGGAUAACGUAGCGAAAGUUACGCUAAUACCGCAUAUUCUGUGAGCAGGAAAGCAGGGGAUCGCAAGACCUUGCGCUGAUUGAGCGGCCGAUGUCAGAUUAGCUAGUUGGUGAGGUAAAGGCUCACCAAGGCGACGAUCUGUAGCGGGUCUGAGAGGAUGAUCCGCCACACUGGAACUGAGACACGGUCCAGACUCCUACGGGAGGCAGCAGUGGGGAAUUUUGGACAAUGGGGGCAACCCUGAUCCAGCCAUGCCGCGUGAGUGAAGAAGGCCUCGG
This 386-nucleotide ribosomal RNA is filed under the name uncultured bacterium. RNAcentral describes it as "bacterial SSU rRNA". It matches the Rfam family "Bacterial small subunit ribosomal RNA", at positions 30 to 420 of the family's 1533-position model. The record is from RNAcentral.